RNAcentral lists this ribosomal RNA (177 nucleotides) under Ditylum brightwellii. RNAcentral's name for it is "partial Bacterial large subunit ribosomal RNA". It matches the Rfam family "Bacterial large subunit ribosomal RNA", at positions 2540 to 2716 of the family's 2925-position model. Lineage: Eukaryota; Bacillariophyta; Thalassiosirophyceae; Lithodesmiales; Lithodesmiaceae. The record is from RNAcentral.
UCGCAUCCUGGGGCGGUAGUACGUCCCAAGGGUUGGGCUGUUCGCCCAUGAAAGCGGUACGCGAGCUGGGUUCAGAACGUCGUGAGACAGUUCGGUCCAUAUCCGGUGUAGGCGUUAGAAUAUUGAGAGGAGCCUUCUUUAGUACGAGAGGACCGAGAAGGACAUACCUCUGGUGUA